RNAcentral lists this ribosomal RNA (501 nucleotides) under uncultured bacterium. RNAcentral's name for it is "bacterial SSU rRNA". It matches the Rfam family "Bacterial small subunit ribosomal RNA", at positions 29 to 523 of the family's 1533-position model. The record is from RNAcentral.
AUUGAACGCUGGCGGCAUGCCUAACACAUGCAAGUCGAACGGCAGCGCGGGGGCAACCCUGGCGGCGAGUGGCGGACGGGUGAGGAAUGCAUCGGAAUCUGCCCGGUUGUGGGGGAUAACUCACCGAAAGGUGAGCUAAUACCGCAUAAGACCGAGAGGUGAAAGCGGGGGACCUUCGGGCCUCGCGCGAUCGGAUGAGCCGAUGCCGGAUUAGCUAGUUGGUAGGGUAAAGGCCUACCAAGGCGACGAUCCGUAGCUGGUCUGAGAGGAUGAUCAGCCACACUGGGACUGAGAUACGGCCCAGACUCCUACGGGAGGCAGCAGUCGAGAGGCUUCGGCAAUGGGGGAAACCCUGACCGAGCGACGCCGCGUGGAGGAUGAAGGCCCUUGGGUUGUAAACUCCUUUUAUUCGGGAAGAAGUGCGAUCAGGUGAAUAAUCUGGUCGUUUGACGGUACCGGAUGAAUAAGCUCCGGCUAACUCCGUGCCAGCAGCCGCGGUAA